AUGUGGAAGUUCCUGGGGCAGGGAUCAUACCCGAACCUCAGCAGUGACCUCAGCUGCUGCAGUAGCACCACUGGAUUCUUAACUCACUGCACCACAGAUCCACCAGAAUCUCUACCAAAGGUUGCCAGGAUACCUCCAGGCAACAAAGGCUGGGGUUCCUGUUCCAGGCAGCCAGCCUCACAUAUUGCAGGAACUCCCAGAAGAGGGGAUGUGAAUCCUAGAGCUCCCAGCUAUUCUGCUCCUGUUGCCACCAGCUUCCCUGCUGAGGGGUUCAGCAGGCUAUGACAAAAACCAAAAUAGAAAGAUAAAGAACAAACAUUAUAAGGUGAGCCUCUCAGAAGGUGUGUUCUUUCUCUAUUGUCUGGUAGCUAAUCGGUCUCAAAUUUUGCCUGUCAACUAGCAACAUUAACCUUGCUCUUUUCCACUUGCUUCUCACCAGUGUGUAGUAAACAGUCCCUUGCUAUAGAAAAGGAAUCCAAAGAAAAGUAAUCAGUCCUUAAGUAAAAAACUUCAAGUAUUACUAAACAAAUUAACAAAUAUUUUACUUCAUUAGUUGAUUUUAGCAAUAAUGUGAAGUAUGGGUUAAAUAUUUCAAUGACUAGAGAGAAUCAAAUUCCAUUUAAAAGGAUGAUUUUUAAAAUGUACUUUAAAGAAAAGUAGAUAAAAUCUAUUUUUAACAUUAAUGCAGAAUUAUGUGUUUUUAAGCCAGAUUAUCCAUGAACGAAAAGGGGUGAAAAAGGAUAUAGUUAUUCAAUUGACUUGGUAGAUUUUUUUUUUUAUUAACUGAGAUAAAAUUCACCUGGAGUGAAAUGUAACUGAUCCUAAGUUCUUGAAUUCAAGUUCCUAAAAAUCAGUAAGUUUGAUACGUUUUUACAGCUGUGUAAACCAUCACCUUAAUCAAGGCAUAGGGCAUGUCGAUCACCCAGAAAUUUUCCUUUCAUCCCUUCCAGUCAGUCUUCCCUCCAUGGGCAGCCACUCUUCUGAUUUCAAUUACAAGAGAAUGAUUUGGCUAUUUGUGAAUUUUAUAUGGGUAGAAUCGUACAAUAUGUAUUCUUGUAUCUGACUUUCUUGGCUCAGAAUGCUUUUAAGAUUCUUCCUAUGGCUGUAAAUAUUAUUAGUUCACUUCCUAUAAUAGGUAUUAUUGCUUUAUAGAUUUAUUCCACGUCCGCUUAUCUAUUUUCCUCUUGAUUGAUAUUUGUCAAUCAGUUUUGGUCUCCUAUAACUAAAGCUGCUAUAAACAUUUUUGCAUAAGACUUUUGGUGGACAUAUGUUUUUGUUUAUCUUGGGUUCAGAGGUAGACUAAAACUGAUGGAUGAUAGGGUAGAUAUAUGUUUAACUUACUAAGGGGUAUGAAAUAAUAUGUCACUGUGGUUAUAAUUUGCAUUUCCUUUAUCACUCAUGAAGUUAAGUAUUUUUACACAAACUCAUUGAAGAUUUGUUUCUCUUUUUUGUUAGUUAUCUAUUCGUAUCUUGCCCAUUUAAAAUGUUUUUUUCUUUAUACCAUCUUUAUUAAUAUAUAAUUCACAUAUAAUAAAACUCACCCAUUUUAAGUACA
This 1555-nucleotide long non-coding RNA is filed under the name Sus scrofa (pig). RNAcentral describes it as "lncRNA (ENSSSCG00050063715.1)". The record is from RNAcentral. Lineage: Eukaryota; Metazoa; Chordata; Mammalia; Artiodactyla; Suidae.